Molecule: ribosomal RNA, 337 nt
Filed under: uncultured bacterium
Lineage: Bacteria
Description: bacterial SSU rRNA
Rfam family: Bacterial small subunit ribosomal RNA
Source: RNAcentral
UAGUGAGUUUGAUCCUGGCUCAGGAUGAACGCUGGCGGUCUGCUUAACACAUGCAAGUCGAACGCAAGUAGAAAUACUUGAGUGGCGGACGGGUGAUUAACGCGUGAGAAUCUGCCUUCUGUCGGGACGAACCACUGAACGGUAGGCUAAUACCGGAUAUGCCUAUGGGUGAAAGAUUAAUUGCCAGAAGAAGAGCUCGCGUCUGAUUAGCUAGUUGGAGAGGUAAAGGCUCACCAAGGCAUCGAUCAGUAGCUGGUCUGAGAGGACGAUCAGCCACACUGGGGACUGAGACACGGGCCCAGACUCCUACGGGAGCAGCAGUGGGGAAUUUCCGCAA